This 274-nucleotide ribosomal RNA is filed under the name Thermoanaerobacter uzonensis DSM 18761. RNAcentral's name for it is "16S rRNA. Bacterial SSU". It matches the Rfam family "Bacterial small subunit ribosomal RNA", at positions 19 to 284 of the family's 1533-position model. The record is from RNAcentral. Lineage: Bacteria; Bacillati; Bacillota; Clostridia; Thermoanaerobacterales; Thermoanaerobacteraceae.
CUGGCUCAGGACGAACGCUGGCGGCGUGCCUAACACAUGCAAGUCGAGCGGUUCGGCACUUAGCACAAGUUAAGUGUCGGAUAGCGGCGGACGGGUGAGUAACGCGUGGGCAACCUACCCUUAAGACCGGGAUAACACCUCGAAAGGGGUGCUAAUACUGGAUAAGGUCAUAAGGUGGCAUCACCAUAUGAAGAAAGGGGGAACCCGCUUAAGGAUGGGCCCGCGUCCCAUCAGCUAGUUGGUGAGGUAACGGCUCACCAAGGCGACGACGGGU